GCCUGCAUGAAGUUGGAAUCGCUAGUAAUCGCGGAUCAGCAUGCCGCGGUGAAUACGUUCCCGGGCCUUGUACACACCGCCCGUCACACCAUGAGAGUCGGGAACACCCGAAGUCCGUAGCCUGACCGCAAGGGGGGCGCGGCCGAAGGUGGGUUCGAUAAUUGGGGUGAAGUCGUAACAAGGUAUC
This 187-nucleotide ribosomal RNA is filed under the name uncultured bacterium. Its description in RNAcentral is "partial 16S ribosomal RNA". It matches the Rfam family "Bacterial small subunit ribosomal RNA", at positions 1314 to 1500 of the family's 1533-position model. The record is from RNAcentral.